CAGCCGCCACGGUAAUACGAAGGGGGCUAGCGUUGUUCGGAAUUAUUGGGCGUAAAGGGCGCGUAGGCGGCCAUUCAAGUUAGAUGUGAAAGCCCUGGGCUCAACCUAGGAAUUGCAUUUGAUACUGUUUGGCUUGAGUUCGGGAGAGGUGAGUGGAAUUCCCAGUGUAGAGGUGAAAUUCGUAGAUAUUGGGAAGAACACCAGUGGCGAAGGCGGCUCACUGGACCGACACUGACGCUGAGGCGCGAAAGCGUGGGGAGCAAACAGGAUUAGAUACCCCCGUAGUCCCUGUCUCUUAUAC
Molecule: ribosomal RNA, 301 nt
Filed under: uncultured bacterium
Lineage: Bacteria
Description: partial 16S ribosomal RNA
Rfam family: Bacterial small subunit ribosomal RNA
Source: RNAcentral